Molecule: ribosomal RNA, 852 nt
Filed under: Macrobiotus muralis
Lineage: Eukaryota; Metazoa; Tardigrada; Eutardigrada; Parachela; Macrobiotidae
Description: SSU rRNA
Rfam family: Eukaryotic small subunit ribosomal RNA
Source: RNAcentral
CUUGCUUUUACAAGGCGAAACCGCGAAUGGCUCAUUAAAUCAGUUAUGGUUCACUAGAUCGUAAAUUUUACACGGAUAACUGUGGUAAUUCUAGAGCUAAUACGUGCAACCAGCUCGCUUCCUUGUGGAGCGAGCGCAGUUAUUAGAACAAGACCAAUCCGGCCUUCGGGUCGGUACAAUUGGUGACUCUGAAUAACCGAAGCGGAGCGCAUGGUCUCGUACCGGCGCCAGAUCUUUCAAGUGUCUGACUUAUCAGCUUGUUGUUAGGUUAUGUUCCUAACAAGGCUUCAACGGGUAACGGGGUAUCAGGGUCCGAUACCGGAGAGGGAGCCUGAGAAACGGCUACCACAUCCAAGGAAGGCAGCAGGCGCGCAAAUUACCCACUCCUAGCACAGGGAGGUAGUGACGAAAAAUAACGAUGCGGGGUCUUAUAGAUUCCCGUAAUCGGAAUGGGUACACUUUAAAUCCUUUAACGAGGAUCUAUUGGAGGGCAAGUCUGGUGCCAGCAGCCGCGGUAAUUCCAGCUCCAAUAGCGUAUAUUAAAGUUGCUGCGGUUAAAAAGCUCGUAGUUGGAUCUGGGCUUCUGAAUGGAUGGUGCGCUUUUCGGUGCUACUGUCCGUUUGGUGCCACAAGCCGGCCAUGUAGUGCAUGCCCUUCAUUGGGUGUGCAUUGCGACCGGAACGUUUACUUUGAAAAAAUUAGAGUGCUCAAAGCAGGCGUACGGCCUUGCAUAAUGGUGCAUGGAAUAAUGGAAUAGGACCUCGGUUCUAUUUUGUUGGUUUUCGGAACUCGAGGUAAUGAUUAAUAGGAACAGACGGGGGCAUUCGUAUUGCGGCGUUAGAGGUGAAAUUC